UCCAGACUCCUACGGGAGGCAGCAGUGGGGAAUAUUGCACAAUGGGGGGAACCCUGAUGCAGCAAUGCCGCGUGGGUGAAGAAGCACUCCGGUGCGUAAAGCCCUGUCAGCAGGGAAGAAAAUGACAGUACCUGACCAAGAAGCCCCGGCUAACUACGUGCCAGCAGCCGCGGUAAUACGUAGGGGGCAAGCGUUAUCCGGAUUUACUGGGUGUAAAGGGAGCGUAGACGGCAGCGCAAGUCUGAAGUGAAAUCCCAUGGCUUAACCAUGGAACUGCUUUGGAAACUGUGCAGCUGGAGUGCAGGAGAGGUAAGCGGAAUUCCUAGUGUAGCGGUGAAAUGCGUAGAUAUUAGGAGGAACACCAGUGGCGAAGGCGGCUUACUGGACUGUAACUGACGUUGAGGCUCGAAAGCGUGGGGAGCAAACAGGAUUAGAUACCCUCGUAC
Molecule: ribosomal RNA, 446 nt
Filed under: uncultured bacterium
Lineage: Bacteria
Description: bacterial SSU rRNA
Rfam family: Bacterial small subunit ribosomal RNA
Source: RNAcentral